This 247-nucleotide ribosomal RNA is filed under the name uncultured bacterium. RNAcentral describes it as "partial 16S ribosomal RNA". It matches the Rfam family "Bacterial small subunit ribosomal RNA", at positions 86 to 334 of the family's 1533-position model. The record is from RNAcentral.
AGAUGGCGACCGGCGCACGGGUGAGUAACACGUAUCCAACCUGCCGAUAACUCGGGGAUAGCCUUUCGAAAGAAAGAUUAAUACCCGAUGGUAUAAUCAGACCGCAUGGUUUGAUUAUUAAAGAAUUUCGGUUAUCGAUGGGGAUGCGUUCCAUUAGGCAGUUGGUGAGGUAACGGCUCACCAAACCUUCGAUGAAUAGGGGUUCUGAGAGGAAGGUCCCCCACAUUGGAACUGAGACACGGUCCAA